GGACGGUUGGUGUAAUUUGGUAGCAGGCGCAGGCAUGCGUGAUGUGGGUUCGAGUCCCAUACCGUCCA
Molecule: transfer RNA, 68 nt
Filed under: Bacteroides thetaiotaomicron
Lineage: Bacteria; Pseudomonadati; Bacteroidota; Bacteroidia; Bacteroidales; Bacteroidaceae
Also listed under: 1 other name
Description: tRNA-OTHER
Rfam family: tRNA
About the family: Transfer RNA (tRNA) molecules are approximately 80 nucleotides in length. Their secondary structure includes four short double-helical elements and three loops (D, anti-codon, and T loops). Further hydrogen bonds mediate the characteristic L-shaped molecular structure. tRNAs have two regions of fundamental functional importance: the anti-codon, which is responsible for specific mRNA codon recognition, and the 3' end, to which the tRNAs corresponding amino acid is attached (by aminoacyl-tRNA synthetases). tRNAs cope with the degeneracy of the genetic code in two manners: having more than one tRNA (with a specific anti-codon) for a particular amino acid; and 'wobble' base-pairing, i.e. permitting non-standard base-pairing at the 3rd anti-codon position.
Source: RNAcentral